GAUGAAGAACGUAGCGAAAUGCGAUACGUAAUGUGAAUUGCAGAAUUCAGUGAAUCAUCGAGUCUUUGAACGCACAUUGCGCCCCCUGGUAUUCCGGGGGGCAUGCCUGUCCGAGCGUCAUUGCUGCCCUCAAGCACGGCUUGUGUGUUGGGCCUCCGUCCUCCUCCCGGGGGACGGGCCCGAAAGGCAGCGGCGGCACCGCGUCCGGUCCUCGAGCGUAUGGGGCUUCGUCCCCCGCUCUUGUAGGCCCGGCCGGCGCUUGCCGACACAUCAAUCUUUUUUCCAGGUUGACCUCGGAUCAGGUAGGGAUACCCGCUGAACUUAAGCAUAUCAAUAAGCGGAGGA
RNAcentral lists this unclassified non-coding RNA (345 nucleotides) under soil metagenome. RNAcentral's name for it is "partial contains 5.8S ribosomal RNA, internal transcribed spacer 2, and large subunit ribosomal RNA". The stretch from base 1 to 120 matches the Rfam family "5.8S ribosomal RNA", at positions 35 to 154 of the family's 154-position model. The record is from RNAcentral.